GGGCCCGCACAAGCGGUGGAGCAUGUGGUUUAAUUCGAUGCAACGCGAAGAACCUUACCAGGGUUUGACAUCCUGCGAAUCUCUUGGAAACGAGAGAGUGCCUUCGGGAACGCAGUGACAGGUGGUGCAUGGCUGUCGUCAGCUCGUGCCGUGAGGUGUCAGGUUAAGUCCUAUAACGAGCGCAACCCCUGUUGUUAGUUGCCAGCGAUUCAAGUCGGGAACUCUAACAAGACUGCCGGUGCAAACCGUGAGGAAGGUGGGGACGACGUCAAGUCAUCAUGGCCCUUACGUGUAGGGCUACACACGUGCUACAAUGGCCGGUACAAACGGUUGCGAACCCGCGAGGGGAAGCUAA
This 355-nucleotide ribosomal RNA is filed under the name uncultured bacterium. Its description in RNAcentral is "bacterial SSU rRNA". It matches the Rfam family "Bacterial small subunit ribosomal RNA", at positions 917 to 1271 of the family's 1533-position model. The record is from RNAcentral.